GUCAAGGUGAAAUUGAUGAAUUUGUAGAGCGUACUUUAAAGGUGUUUAUAUCAUCUUUUGGUGACGUUGAGGAUGAGAAUGAUCAAUGAAGUGGCAAAGGAAUUCUGGUUAGCUGGUGUUACUUAGAGCUUGUGGUGGAUGAAGGAAGUUGCACAAAGUCAAAGGUUUUUGAAGUGUUUUUUACAUAGGUGUAAAACUGAAUGAUUCUAUGUUUUUUUAUGUUUUUUUUUUGUUAAAUUGAAUGCUUUAGACUAAUGGGUCAAGAUGGAUUCUUUAGCUAUUUAUAAAACGGUUCAUUGUUUGGUAUAUCCUUUUCAUAUAUGUGUUUGUAAAUCUCAUGAAUCAACAUGAAUUGG
This 356-nucleotide long non-coding RNA is filed under the name Helianthus annuus (common sunflower). RNAcentral's name for it is "hypothetical non coding rna". The record is from RNAcentral. Lineage: Eukaryota; Viridiplantae; Streptophyta; Magnoliopsida; Asterales; Asteraceae.